Molecule: ribosomal RNA, 2456 nt
Filed under: human gut metagenome
Description: bacterial LSU rRNA
Rfam family: Bacterial large subunit ribosomal RNA
Source: RNAcentral
UUAAGUAAGGAAGGGCGUACGGCGAAUGCCUUGCCACUCGAAACUGAAGAAGGACGCGCCAAACUGCGAAAAGCUCCGUGAAGCUGUAAGGAAGCGAAGAAGCGGAGGUGUCCGAAUGGGGGAACCCGGCAGCAGACAUGAGCUGUCAUCUGCAGGUGAAUACAUGGCCUGCAAGAGAGGUACCCGGCGAACUGAAACAUCUAAGUAGCCGGAGGAAAAGAAAACAACAGUGAUUCCCUGAGUAGCGGCGAGCGAAAGGGGAGAAGCCCAAACCGGUUGAAGGACCGGGGUUGAAGGACCAUGACAUGGCAAGAACGAGGAUAGGAGAACGGGAUCGAAAGCCCGGCCGAAGAAGGUGAAAGCCCUGUAACCGAAAUCCGAGUAAAGCCUAAUGGGAUCCUGAGUACGGCGAGACACGAGAAAUCUUGUCGGAAGCAGGCGGGACCAUCCGCCAAGGCUAAAUAUAAACGAGUGAGCGAUAGUGAACCAGUACCGUGAGGGAAAGGUGAAAAGAACCGCGGGAGCGGAGUGAAAGAGAACCUGAAACCGUAUGCCUACAAGAAGUCAGAGCCCGUUAAGGGGUGAUGGCGUGCCUUUUGUAGAAUGAACCGGCGAGUUGCGACAGACUGCGAGGUUAAGGAGGAAAGACCGGAGCCGAAGCGAAAGCGAGUCUUAAGAGGGCGAAAGUAGGAUGUUGCAGACCCGAAACCGGGUGAUCUAGCCAUGAGCAGGUUGAAGUUGAGGUGAAACUCAAUGGAGGACCGAACCGACUACCGUUGAAAAGUUAGCGGAUGACUUGUGGCUAGGGGAGAAAUUCCAAUCGAACCCGGAGAUAGCUGGUUCUCCCCGAAAUAGCUUUAGGGCUAGCGUCGGAAAGAACCUUAGUGAAGGUAGAGCACUGAAUGUGUGAUGGCCCCAUCCCGGGGUACUGAAUACAAUCAAACUGCGAAUGUCAUUAAGGAUGUCCGGCAGUCAGACUGUGAGUGAUAAGGUCCAUGGUCAAGAGGGAAACAGCCCAGACCGCCAGUUAAGGUCCCAAAAUACAGGCUAAGUGGAAAAGGAUGUGGGGAUGCCCAGACAACUAGGAGGUUGGCUCAGAAGCAGCCAUCCUUUAAAGAGUGCGUAACAGCUCACUAGUCGAGUGACCCUGCGCCGAAAAUGUACCGGGGCUAAGCCUGAUACCGAAACUGCGGAUUGUAGGAAACUAUAGUGGUAGGGGAGCGUUGUAUACGAGCAGAAGCCGUACCGUGAGGAGCGGUGGAUUGUAUAGAAGUGAGAAUGCCGGUGUGAGUAGCGAGAUGUAGGUGAGAAUCCUACACACCGAAAGCCCAAGGAUUCCAGGGGAAGGUUCGUCCGCCCUGGGUAAGUCGGGACCUAACGCGAGGCCGAAAGGCGUAGUGGAUGGAAAGCAGGCGAAAGAUUCCUGCACCCGUAUAUGGAGCGAAGGAGUGACGGAGACGGAUAGUGUGACCCUCUUAAUGGAUUGAGGGCGAAGCGAAGCGGCUGGUUACCAGGCAAAUCCGGUAACCAAAAGGCUAGAGCGUGACAGGUAAGCGAAAUCUUCGGAAAGUAGCGAAGCACAUGAUGACGGCUUCCAGGAAAAGCUUCUGGCAAUGCAUAUGCGGCCCGUACCAAAACCGACACAGGUGGGCAGGGAGAGAAUCCCGAGGUGAGCGAGAGAACUGUUGCCAAGGAACUCGGCAAAAUGACUCCGUAAGUUAGCGAGAAGGAGUGCUUAAGCAAUUAAGCCGCAGUGAAGAGGCCCAAGCGACUGUUUAACUAAAACACAGCUCUCUGCGAAGUCGCAAGACGAAGUAUAGGGGGUGACACCUGCCCGGUGCUGGAAGGUUAAGAGGAUCUGUUAAGAGCGAUCUGAAGCAGUGAUCCGAAGCCCCAGUGAACGGCGGCCGUAACUAUAACGGUCCUAAGGUAGCGAAAUUCCUUGUCAGGUAAGUUCUGACCCGCACGAAAGGUGUAACGAUUUGGGCGCUGUCUCGGCAGCAGACUCGGUGAAAUCUUAGUACCUGUGAAAAUGCAGGUUACCCGCAACUAGACGGAAAGACCCCAUGGAGCUUUACUGCAGCCUGAUAUUGAAUUCUGGUCAUACAUGUACAGGAUAGGUGGGAGACAAAGAGACGUGCACGCCAGUGUACGAGGAGUCGACGUUGGGAUACCACUCUUGUGUGACCGGGGUUCUAACCUGGUAUCGAGAACAGGUACGGGGAGAGUGUCAGGUGGGCAGUUUGACUGGGGCGGUCGCCUCCCAAAGAGUAACGGAGGCGCCCAAAGGUACGCUCAGAUUGGAUGGAAACCAAUCGUCGAGUGCAAUUGCAGAAGCGUGCUUGACUGUGAGACAGACAAGUCGAACAGGGACGAAAGUCGGGAAUAGUGAUCCGGCGGUGCCGAAUGGAAGGGCCGUCGCUCAACGGAUAAAAGCUACCCUGGGGAUAACAGGC